Molecule: long non-coding RNA, 2126 nt
Filed under: Homo sapiens (human)
Lineage: Eukaryota; Metazoa; Chordata; Mammalia; Primates; Hominidae
Description: long non-coding RNA NONHSAT166054.1
Source: RNAcentral
AUAAUGUUAUCGAACUUUUAUUAUAUUUGUUUUGUUAAAAUACUACGUAUGGUUAUAAAAACAUAGUAAGUAUAAAUAUAUGUAUAUUUCUCAGAAAUCCUUUAAAAAACAGGUAACUUUUCAUGCAUUAUUAUUUUUAAACAUUUUAAUUAUAUGCCAAAUAAAUACAUUUUUAACCAACCUUAGCUUCAAUAACAUAUACACUAAAAAAUUUGUAUAUAAAACAUUUUGCCAUCUGACUUCAAAUUAGCAGGUCUGAACUGAGGAUAAUAUUAAAAUUGACAUUCCAGUUAAUCCAGGAAACAGAGGAGGCCUUAGGUAUUGCAUCAGGAGUUAGGAGAGUCAGAGUUAUAACAAAGAAGAUCGUGUGGCUCCUUUGAAGAAAAAGUGAGAAUAAGCAGCAAGAUUAAAGCCAUAAAAAACUAGAAUAAUGAUUGACUCAAUUUUGAUGAACUGAAAAGGCUAUGGAUAACAAGAGUUCCAGAACUUCCUUUUCUAUGAAGUCCUGUGCCUGCUCAUUGAAAAACAAUGAAUCAGUCUAGACUUGCAAGACGAAAUAAUUCCCUCAAAGCUGGACAUUUAUAUAUUAUUUAUGUAGCAUAUUUCAAUAUUGAUGGUAUAGCCUCAUAUACAGUUGAUUGUAAAACCAUUCUUUCUGUUAGAGUAGGUAGGCAGACAUGAGCAGGGCAGGAGAAGCCCACCCACACAUACCAGGAAUGUCAAGAGAGCAUCAGGUGAUGGUCAGGCAGCUGUUAAACUGCCUCUCUAACAUAAUAAUUGAUUCCAGCUGGUACCGGUGAAAGGCAGUCUCCCAACAGAUAGAAAACACCUGAAGCUGGUGAUCAGCAGCUUUAGAAAACACGGGAAGCUGGUGAUCAGCAGCUUCCAGAUAAGAUCUCAGCACUCUAAGAGACAAGAUGGUGGAAUUUAACUAGUAUAUGACCUUUCUUUAGGAACGCUCAACUGGUAUCCAGAUGCAGAAGUCUUACUUCCUGCUUUUCUAUGACAUCAUCCUUCAGAAGGCGGGGCAUAGGCAAGAACAUGAUAAAGCACUUCUCCUUCCUGCCAUCAUGUGAAGAAGGAUGUGUUUGCUUCCCCUUCUGCCAGGAUUGUACGUUUCCUGAAGCCUCCCCAGCCUGCAGAACGGCAUUCACAUUCACUCACCACUUACUGACUCACCCGGAGCAACUUCCAGCCCUGCAAGCUUCAUUUAUGGAACAUGGAUGGAGCUGGAGGCUAUUAUUCUCAUCAAACUGUCCCAGGAAGAGAAAACCAAAUACCACAUGUUCUCACUUGUAAGUGGGAGUUAGAUGGUGAAAACUUACAAAGAAGAAAACAACAGACACCUGGGUUUACUUGAAGGUGGCGGGUGGGAGAAGGGAAAGUAACAGAAAAAAUAACUAUUGGGUACUGGGCUUAAUUCUUGGGUAAUGAGAUAUUCUGUACAACAAAUUUCCAUGACAUAAGUUUACCUGUGUAACAAGCUUUCACAUGUACUGCCGAACCUAAAAUAAAAGCUAAACAAAAGGAAAUGUGCUAAUAAUGUACUCCUUCAUCAUCCCAUUCCUAUGUAAAUAUUCAAUAAAGCAAAAUUUCUUCCCAACCUCAAAUAUAGGAGUUCAUUAUUAUCCGUUACCCAUAUACCAUAGGUUAGCAUGUGAUGAUAAUUGGUGAUAAUAAUAGAUGCUAUCUAUUAAGCUUUAUGUAGCAAACAUGUUGUUAAAUACUUGCAUUAUCUUAUUUAGCACUAAUAAUAUUCUCCAUUGAAAUAAUGUACAUGUUUUUAUUUCAAUUUUAGAAAUAAGAAAAGUUAGCAAUCUACCUAUUAAUCCAUUUUCACAGAAUUAUUCAGCUAGCAUACAUAAGACAUAAGUUAAUCUUAGUCACAAACUAUGUUUCAAAAUUGCCUUUCCUGAAAUAUGAUAAUGUUUUAUUUUAUUUGUGUAUUUUUGAAUUUGGGCAUUAUUUCUUUUGCUAGGUUUCUAUGACUAAUAAAACUGCUUCUUGAAAAUUUCAUUUGUUCAUUCAUUAUGAACAUAUUCACUUAGCAUCUAAUAUAUAUUAUACUUUGUGUGAAAAUAAAAUGGUAAGCAAAGAAAAUAAAUGGCCUGACUUUAUGCAGCUCA